This 360-nucleotide ribosomal RNA is filed under the name uncultured soil bacterium. RNAcentral's name for it is "bacterial SSU rRNA". It matches the Rfam family "Bacterial small subunit ribosomal RNA", at positions 26 to 397 of the family's 1533-position model. The record is from RNAcentral.
AGGACGAACGCUGGCGGCGUGCUUAACACAUGCAAGUCGAGCGGUAAGGCCUUUCGGGGUACACGAGCGGCGAACGGGUGAGUAACACGUGGGUGAUCUGCCCUGCACUUCGGGAUAAGCCUGGGAAACUGGGUCUAAUACCGGAUAUGACCUCAGGUUGCAUGACUUGGGGUGGAAAGAUUUAUCGGUGCAGGAUGGGCCCGCGGCCUAUCAGCUUGUUGGUGGGUAAUGGCCUACCAAGGCGACGACGGGUAGCCGACCUGAGGAGGGUGACCGCCGACACUGGGACUGAGACACGGCCCAGACUCCGUACGGGACGGCAGCGAGGUGGGGAAUAGUUGCACGAGUGGGACGAAACGC